CCUGGUAGUGGGGGACAACGUCUCGAAAGGGACGCUAAUACCGCAUACGUCCUACGGGAGAAAGUGGGGGAUCUUCGGACCUCACGCUAUCAGAUGAGCCUAGGUCGGAUUAGCUAGUUGGUGAGGUAAUGGCUCACCAAGGCGACGAUCCGUAACUGGUCUGAGAGGAUGAUCAGUCACACUGGAACUGAGACACGGUCCAGACUCCUACGGGAGGCAGCAGUGGGGAAUAUUGGACAAUGGGCGAAAGCCUGAUCCAGCCAUGCCGCGUGUGUGAAGAAGGUCUUCGGAUUGUAAAGCACUUUAAGUUGGGAGGAAGGGCAUUAACCUAAUACGUUAGUGUUUUGACGUUACCGACAGAAUAAGCACCGGCUAACUCUGUGCCAGCAGCCGCGGUAAU
RNAcentral lists this ribosomal RNA (400 nucleotides) under uncultured bacterium. RNAcentral describes it as "bacterial SSU rRNA". It matches the Rfam family "Bacterial small subunit ribosomal RNA", at positions 129 to 524 of the family's 1533-position model. The record is from RNAcentral.